This 1308-nucleotide long non-coding RNA is filed under the name Oryctolagus cuniculus (rabbit). RNAcentral describes it as "lncRNA (ENSOCUG00000039306.1)". Lineage: Eukaryota; Metazoa; Chordata; Mammalia; Lagomorpha; Leporidae. The record is from RNAcentral.
CGCCGGGCCGCACCUGCCCCGCAGCACAGCCAGGGCCCGCUCAGCCCCCCGACGACCAGGGGGAACCCGGGGCGACCACCGGGAAUCUUCUGCAGCCUAAGGGAGCCCUGCAAGCCCCGGCUGCCCGCGCAUCCCCCACCCCCACUCGCCGAGUUUCUCCGAGCGCUGGGGAAGGAGGAGGUGGCGGCCGGGCGCCCAGCGCUGGGCGAGGCACCCACCGCAGGAGCUUCGCUCCCACACCGCAGCCCUCCCAGGGCUACCUGGAGCAGACGGUCCCACCCCAUCCUCUCGUGUCCACCUCCCCUCCACUGGGAAGCUCGGCUGCACCCGGGGCGCAACCUCAGCAACUUUCCCCAGGGCCCACCGUCGCGCCGGGGGUGGGCUGGGGGCCCGGGGAGGUCCUCAGCCGCCCACGGAGCCGCCAGCGGAAGCGCCUCUUACCGUUCCUUCGGCGUCCAGGCUCCCCUUGGGCGAACUGACAGCAGUCCAUCAGAAAGUGGCAAAGUAGCACAACUCCCGCCGCAGCCAGGUCGGCCCUGGGGAACCGCGCCAUGUCGCCGCCGCCGCCGCCCCUCGCCCCCGUCCCCUCUGCCCGGCCUUCCUCGAGCCCCGCGCUCCCGGGCUCCGGGUGCGGACUGGGGCCAGGCGGGGAGCGCCGCAGAUCAGUCUCGGCGGGACCCGGAGGCCUCCGUACACGUCGCCCCGAUUUCACGCCCGAGCGCCGGGGACCGCAGGAAGGGAUGCGAGGCGGAGCGCAGCCCUCUCCGGACCCCUGGGGGUCUCCUUGCAACUUGCAGACCUCGUCGCCGCGCCCCGCGCAGGAAACAACCGCGGGGCGACGGGGCCACUCGCGGCCGGGGCUGCAAACUCUCGGCUCCGCACGGGCAGCGCCGCUCCGGCGCCCGCAGACGGCGGCUUCCUAGCGCCCGCGACGCGCUCCGCUGGGCUCCGAGCAGAGCGGAUUCCACAGCCAGCGCCGCGGCAGGCUCCAAAUCCAAGGGCGCUGUGGGUUCGGAGGAACUUUCCCCGGCCCUGGGAAGGCCCGGAGGGAGACCUGGAAAGGACAGCCGCGCCCCGGGAGUUCAGAGGCGGAGGAGGAACGGCCGCCGAGGCGCUCCCGCACCAUGCUCUGAGGAGGGAGGCGGCGCGCCCUCCCCCUCGGGCUUCCGGGCUGCUCCCACCUGCCUCCAGAAUCUCGCCCUAGGCACCGACUUGUCCAAAGGCAGAGGAAUCGCUGACGGAUGCCGGUGCGUCCCCGUGUCUAGCUCCCACCCUCGACAGCCCCCUGGGGGCCCAGCGCCCACCUGA